Fukomys damarensis (Damara mole-rat) is the source of this 707-nucleotide long non-coding RNA. RefSeq lists it as uncharacterized. The transcript is spliced from 3 exons. NCBI's taxonomy places the organism in Eukaryota, Metazoa, Chordata, Mammalia, Rodentia, Bathyergidae. The record is from RefSeq and is a predicted model, not a curated record.
CAUGUUACAGAUGAGGAAACAGAAGCACAGAAAGGAGAUUGACUUUGUCAAACACAUACAUCUAAGCUAGAAUUUUAAAAAGGGACCAGAGGCACAUGAAAUUAUUAUGGGAAAAAAAUGGAUAUGUUCUUCUGAGAAGCAAUGAAAACCUCACAUUCUUUUUUUCCAGAACUAGUGAAUGUGAAGACAAUCUCAUGAGUGGAGUAAAGAUUACAAUUUUUUAAAAUCUCUCUUUGCCUUUCAUGCUUCUCUUUUGUAAGACUUGAGGCAAUGAGCACCUCCUACUUUACAGGCAAGUUACUUGAAGAGUGAAGAGGAUUUUAAGUGGUGUCAAUGACAAGGAACAAGGAGCUUGCUGUUUUAUGGAAAGCUGCAAAGGGCUCCCUAUGGUUUCCACAUUGUCCCACUCCAUUCACCAAAGAGAGGAGACAGACAUGAAAGAAGCAUUUGUCAAGGAAACAAAAUGAUAGCUGCAACUUCGUGAUUAGUGGUGAACUUACUGAUUCUUUGUCAAAUGAGGAGAGGAAAAAGGAAGGAGGGAGUCAAGAAGGAAAGGGAGCCUGGAGCAUUACAAAAGACCAAGAAGCAGUGGGCACGUUGCACAUCGCAAGAUCAUCCUGGAAGGAGUGUGGAGAACGACCUGAGGGAACCAGUGUCCAACAGGCAACCUUUUAUAUAUGUGACAAAAGUUAUUUAAAUACUUUGAG